CAUGCAGUCGAGCGGAACGACACUAACAAUCCUUCGGGUGCGUUAUUGGGCGUCGAGCGGCGGACGGGUGAGUAAUGCUUGGGAAUAUGCCUUUACGUGGGGGACAACAGUUGGAAACGACUGCUAAUACCGCAUAAUGUCUUCGGACCAAAGGAGGGGAUGCUUCGGCACCUUUCGCGUAAAGAUUAGCCCAAGUGGGAUUAGCUAGUUGGUGGGGUAAUGGCCUACCAAGGCGACGAUCUCUAGCUGGUUUGAGAGGAUGAUCAGCCACACUGGGACUGAGACACGGCCCAGACUCCUACGGGAGGCAGCAGUGGGGAAUAUUGCACAAUGGGGGGAACCCUGAUGCAGCCAUGCCGCGUGUGUGAAGAAGGCCUUCGGGUUGUAAAGCACUUUCAGUUGUGAGGAAGGUUCAGUAGUUAAUACCUGCUGGAUUUGACGUUAGCAACAGAAGAAGCACCGGCUAACUCCGUGCCAGCAGCCGCGGUAAUACGGAGGGUGCGAGCGUUAAUCGGAAUUACUGGGCGUAAAGCGUACGCAGGCGGCUUGUUAAGCGAGAUGUGAAAGCCCCGGGCUUAACCUGGGAACGGCAUUUCGAACUGGCAAGCUAGAGUGUGUGAGAGGGUGGUAGAAUUUCAGGUGUAGCGGUGAAAUGCGUAGAGAUCUGAAGGAAUACCAGUGGCGAAGGCGGCCACCUGGCA
This 701-nucleotide ribosomal RNA is filed under the name Alteromonadaceae bacterium GUDS1279. RNAcentral's name for it is "bacterial SSU rRNA". It matches the Rfam family "Bacterial small subunit ribosomal RNA", at positions 54 to 734 of the family's 1533-position model. The record is from RNAcentral. Lineage: Bacteria; Pseudomonadati; Pseudomonadota; Gammaproteobacteria; Alteromonadales; Alteromonadaceae.